Molecule: long non-coding RNA, 936 nt
Filed under: Scleropages formosus (Asian bonytongue)
Lineage: Eukaryota; Metazoa; Chordata; Actinopteri; Osteoglossiformes; Osteoglossidae
Description: lncRNA (ENSSFOG00015027141.1)
Source: RNAcentral
UGAAAAUGUGUGUGUGUGUGUGUGUGUUUGGCUGCUCUCAGUGUAUGCGAUGAACUAUUUUGAAUGUUUUGGCUAUGAGGAAUGUGGGCCCACCUCACAUGUACAGAAGCAUUAAAUACCUGUUUCCAGAGAGCUGUGUCGGGACUGCGAUGUCAUUCGAAACGUGCUCUGGUGAGUUCACUAGUCCCUGCCUGCUUUCUCAUCUUCAGAUUAAUUUCAGUCAUAGAGGUACCACUAAGUGGCACAGGCUCCGAGGUACCUGCUCCAUUUGAACCGCUCUUGACCAGUGAGAACGUGGGGAGCUGCUGGGACCGGUCCAGAGUGGAGAACGCUGCAGCGUCUCUCGGGGAGAACCUCACCGGUCACCUUCCACAGACCGGUGACUUGCUGUCAGCCCACUGAGUAGAGACUUGAACGACAGCCCAGUGGUCAGCAAACCAGGGAGGAUACGUCAUCGAUGGCGCCUACCAUGUGUGGGACCGUUGCUUGGUGUGACCUUCGGACCGCGGUGAGGAACAACCGGUCUGACGAGGCGCUUUUGAACGACGUUCGCCCUGCGGCCUCCGCUCUCCUGUCCUCGCGCCUGGUUGACCCAGCUCAGCUCUAUGUUCCAGAUCGCUGCCCACAGCUGGAAACGUCUUGGUCGGGUGGAGUCGCUGCGACCGAGAGACGUCUCGGCAGCCUGGAGCUCCGCGGCUGUGACACGUUAUCUGUGGCUGCAGUAUAAAGCACAGCGUGGGGGCAAAUUAACACCAGGGUUUUUUCUUUAUGGGUCACCACUGGAACACAUUGGAACCAGCAAACUGGCUAUUCGUGUCAGCUGUGACCUGACAACACACACCGCAUGCAUGCAGACCUACGCUUCACAUCUUUGCUCUCAUCUUUGUCUGCCGAAGGAUAUCGGUCUCACCGUACACGAACUCCACACCCAUGUAA